RNAcentral lists this long non-coding RNA (748 nucleotides) under Androctonus crassicauda. The record is from RNAcentral. Lineage: Eukaryota; Metazoa; Arthropoda; Arachnida; Scorpiones; Buthidae.
CAGAGGUUGCGAUUGGCGUCCAAAUAGCUUGAUGCAUGUACUAAACAUUCAUAACCUCGAAACAGUCACAAUGUUGAAACCAAGUGCAGAGUAUAAUCGAAGAGCCAUGAUUAUUGAAAGUGUUUGUGCUGGACACUCAGCGAUAGAAAUCAUUUGAUUCUUCAGGUACCCAGGAUUGACUGUGUAUGAUGUUGUCACAAAGUAUAACGACUUGAAAAGUCCAAUGAAGGUUUGGCAACACCGGCAAGGAAACCUCGCUCAAAGGAGCAGUUGUCAGGAUGCCUGAAAUCAUUCAACAGGCUCAGGAGAUGAUUUUUGAGGAUCCAGGGCAAUCGAUUCGAAAAUUGUCAUCGGUUGUCAAUGUGAGUGAAAAAACUGUGUCAAAUCAUCGAGGAGGACCUCCAUUACAAGUCUUAUACAAUUAAAGUGAGAACAGAUGCUUUCUGAAGCUACCAGGAAAAAGCGAGUUGAACACUGUAAUUUGCUUUUGUGUUCUUAUGAAACAAUGCUGCCAGACACCUCAGGUUUUUUUUCUGACAAAAAUAUUUUUACUGUCAAUGAGAAAAUCAAUCAAAGAAAUGAUUGCUGGCUCACCCAUGAUCCUGAAGAUAGUCCCCAUUGUUUCUAGAAUGAAAUUUCCAGUGAAUGUUCAUGUACUAAGUGUUGCGUCCAGUGAGGAUGAUGUCAUGCCACCACAUUUCUUUAACAAAGGGGAAAAUGUCACAAAAGAAAUUUAUUUGCAUCUUCU